UUAAAGUGACAUCAUUAAUUUGAAAUGUUUUUCAUUAUGUGUCCUCUAAAAAUUUCUAUUUUAAUUGUGAUAUAAUUCUUUUGAAUAUAUUAUUAAGGAUUAACGUAUUUUAGAAGUUUUACAAAUCAAAGAUUGCCGUGGAAAAUAAGUAUAAACAAUCGGGUAGUGUGUGGAGACUCAAGAAAGUGAUUCGAAAAUUGUAGAACUUUGGACUAACUCAGAUCUUACCGACUCAAGUCAAGAAUAGAGCCUGUGAUUGACAUUGAUAGCACAAGUGACUAGGUGACUUGUUCAAAUGAAUAUGGCUGACGACCCAUAUGAUAAGCCUCCAGCCCCUCCAGUUCGACUGACUAGUGCUAGGGAUUCUUCAUCAGUACCUGUUGAUAUGAAGCCUCUUCCCAAAGAACCUGACAGUGAAGAAAAGAAGAAAGUGAAAUAUGGAACACCUUCAAAGAGUACAAAAAAGAAGGAUGCAGACAAACCUGUCAUUUCUCCACCCACAAACUUUGAACAUACUAUCCAUGUGGGAUUUGAUGCAAUUACAGGGGAGUUUACUGGAAUGCCAGAGUCUUGGGCAAGAUUAUUACAGAAUUCCAACAUUACCAAGUCAGAACAGAAGAAGAAUCCUCAAGCAGUGUUAGAUGUGUUAAAUUGGUAUGAUGCCUCUACUAAAGAGAAACAAGAGUCUAAGUACAUGACAAUGAACCGUAUGUUAGCCCAGCUUUUGGCCCAAUGGCAACAAAGUACAUAUCCUUCACCAAGGCCAAGCUAUCUUCCAGAUAAAGAGACAUCCAAUAUUGUGAUUCCACCUCCUGUGUCGCCAAAACCAGAACCAUCUCCACCCUCCACUCCUGAGGAAGAAGAAGAGGAAUCAGGACCACCUCCACCAGUAGCUGCCCGACCAGAAAAGACUAAGUCUAUAUACACAAAGCCAGUAGAUGAAGAAGUAAAGAAUGGAGCAGGGUUUGGAUUUGAUAAGAGAGAUAUUGCCAAUAAUAACAAUACAGCUGCAAGACCUAAAAAGAAAAAAAUGUCAGAUGAGGAAAUUAUGGAGAAACUGAGAAUUAUAGUUGCUGUUGGAGAUCCAAAUAAAAAGUAUACAAAAAUGGAGAAAAUUGGUCAAGGGGCUUCAGGUACUGUGUACACAGCUAUUGAGAUAGCUACAGGUAUGGAGGUAGCCAUCAAGCAGAUGAACCUUUCUCAACAACCCAAGAAGGAACUAAUCAUUAAUGAACUGCUAGUGAUGCGUGAAAACAAACAUCCAAAUAUUGUUAACUAUCUAGACAGUUAUCUUGUGGGAGAGGAACUGUGGGUAACAAUGGAAUACCUACCCGGAGGUUCACUGACUGAUGUUGUCACUGAAACCUGCAUGGAUGAAGGGCAGAUUGCUGCUGUUUGUAGAGAAGUACUUCAGGCUCUAGAAUUUCUUCAUUACAACCAUGUGAUUCACAGAGACAUAAAAAGUGACAACAUUUUACUUGGCAUGGAUGGUAGUGUUAAACUUACUGAUUUUGGGUUUUGUGCUCAGAUCUCUCCUGAACAAAGUAAAAGGACAACAAUGGUUGGCACUCCAUACUGGAUGGCUCCUGAAGUUGUAACUCGCAAGCAGUAUGGUCCUAAAGUUGACAUCUGGUCACUUGGUAUCAUGGCUAUAGAAAUGAUUGAAGGAGAACCUCCUUACCUCAAUGAAAACCCCCUUAGGGCACUUUACUUAAUUGCAACCAAUGGAAAACCUGAAAUCAAAGAGAAAGAAAAGUUAUCACCAGUCUUCCAAGACUUUCUUGAUAAGUGCCUGGAUGUUGAUGUGGACAAACGAUUUUCAGCUUGUGAAUUACUUAAGCACCCAUUUCUGAAGCUUGCACGACCUUUAGCAAGUUUACAUCCACUCAUAGUGGCAGCAAAAGAAGCAGCAAAAAGUCACUAGAAAUACAAAGAUUUUUCAUCACUCUUGGGAAGAUUUUUGAUAGUAUGGUGUUGUUCUAUCUGGUUGCAGACUUGCAAGUUUGUCUUCAGCCAAUCAGAGCAAACUGUUUGAUUCAUUUAGCAAUCAAGGUCAGCUUUCAUGUGCUUUCAGCCUUCAAAGCCAAUUCAUCAGUUGAUUUCUCAAGAGCAUGUACAUCUUUCUCAAUGUGGUGUUUCUUUUUCUUUAAUUCAUCAAUUUCAUCCAGGAGUGGUUUUUGCUUUCGUUUUCCUUGCAUCUCUUUUCCUCCUUCAGGUAGGUAUAGUACUGUUGCCUUGCACCAGCUGCAUGUUCUGCAUCCCCCCAACUGAACUGAGAUGGUUACAUAAAAGGUUACAUACAUAUAUUUCCUCUUGAAGAUCUUCAACCUCAAUCUGAUGAUUCACUAAAAAGCCACUCUCCACUGAGGCAUUCCCAUGUGACAGAAGUAGCAAGACCUGCACAACAUUUUAAAUGCAUUGCUGCCUACCAUUAUUUCAUAGAAAACGGUAUCCACCCUACAUUUAGCAUAAUCAAAAUCUGUUAAUUCUAAUUUUCUGUUAUUUACAGUGUCACUGAUGUACAGCCUGUUCUGCCCGAGUAUGUCAUCACAGCUGUUCUCAUCAGCAAGAAUUUGUGGUACCUUUUUUAAGCUUUUUCAUACAUGAUUCCUGAUCCUUGGCCAUUUCACAUGGAUCCAAGCAUACCACAUUGUACAUCAAUGUGUUCUGUAGGGGAGACUUAUCCUAUAACAUAAGCACAAGUAACAGCAAGCACUCUUUACUCUCCAUCCUAAAUUGAAGUUAUCUUUUUUUCACUGAUUUUCUCAUUUGUCACCAAUUCCUUCAGUAUCUUCUCUGUCAUAAAUCCAACAUCUACAAUGGCAAUAAUGUAUGCAACUGCAGGCAUGUUUUACUCUAAUUACAGUGUACAAAAAUACAAUUCACCUUUUAAAACUUGAGUUAUACAAAAGCUAAUUAAUUCUGCUGAGUAUGCAUUUUAGUAAGCCAACACUGUACACUACUUAAAAAUUCAAAUUAAAUAAAAAUAAAUACAGAUAAAUUACACUCAAACCAGUGUGUUAUGUCAGUCCCUUCUACUAUAUAAACAGAAACUCCCAAUUAAAAAAAUGAGUCAAUUAAAGGAAAAAGCCCCAAUUAUACAAAUACUGUAGUCUUACCCAUGUCUCUUGCUUCCUAGUAAUUAGCAGUGAAUAAAAGUUUGGAAAGUCAGAGGUCUGCCCUGAAGACUUUUAGUGAUUCUUCAUUUGAUAUUUACUUCCUUGUAUGGCUUAUUACCCAUCAGGUAAUGAAAUGCAAUCCAUUAUUUCACCUAAGCCUUAAUUUGGUUAGUACAAGUUUUAUAGUUUGUAGCUGCUGUGCUCAGCACUUUCAUUCAUCACUUUUUCUCCAAACAACUUUAUAUUAUUUUCAGAUAUUUAGCAUAAAAAUGCUUCCUUAUACAUUUCCAUAGUAAGAAAAAUUAAAACUCUCUAACAUAGAAUUGAACUUAUCAUCACAAAAACAACUUGGAAAUACACCUUCAUAUUAUCUUCGUUUUUUGUUUCUUCAAAAAUUAUGAGUAAUUAACUAAGUAUGAAAAUAAUGAAAGGAAGCUUAGAGAUGUUUGUAAUUGUUGAGGAUCUGAAAAUACGAUUUUAGUAACUGUAUUAUGGAACAUGCCACAAAAAACAACCUUUUCUUACUUGAAAUGUUAUCCUUUAUAGAUGUGAUUAAAAGUUAUAUUUAUUCAUAUAUAUAUAUAUGAACAAAAAAGUUAAAUGAAAUCUUUAAAGCUCUGUGAGGUUUUGAAUCAAAUGAACUUGAACACAAAAUGUUUUUGUUAAUUGGUUUUAAUUCAUCAUCAAAAGUAAUUAUGUGCAAACUUAGUUAAGCUAAUUGCUUAAUAUUUGUGACAAAAUCAUGUAAGCUUCAAAUAUUUUUAACACUUCUCUUAAUUUGUCAAUUUCAGAUUUAAAAUCAGAGAUUCCUGAAAACAAUAUCUGAAAUUUAUGCAAUUUGUAUUACAAUUGUUAGGCAUUUUGGUUUCGAGUGCUUUCUCAUCUUGUAUUAAUUUUUUGUUUUGAACAAGUUAAAAUACUGUUUUAUACUUUCAUUGUUUUACUCAUAUCAUGUCCUUUGCAUUUAGUAACUCAGAAAUAAUGUAAUAAUUUAAAGCUUUCAUUUUUGUGUUCAGUUAACUCAGUGAUGGCUCUACAGUUUGUAAAAGCCUCUCAAUCAACUGUUGAAUACAGUAAAAAACUCAAUUUAUAUGAUUAUUUUUCUUACAUCUGUAAAUUUUUGAAGUAAUGGACAGAAAAUACAGUAAAUAAAACUACCUCACUAGACCAGGCAGAAUCUGGAUUACUAAGGAAAAGAAAAUACAGUAAAUAAAACUACCUCACUAGACCAGGCAGAAUCUGGAUUACUAAGAAACAUAAAAUACAGUAAAUAAAACUACCUCACUAGACCAGGCAGAAUCGGGAUUACUAAGAAACAU
This 4438-nucleotide unclassified non-coding RNA is filed under the name Limulus polyphemus (Atlantic horseshoe crab). RNAcentral describes it as "serine/threonine-protein kinase PAK 3-like, transcript variant X3". The record is from RNAcentral. Lineage: Eukaryota; Metazoa; Arthropoda; Merostomata; Xiphosura; Limulidae.